This 211-nucleotide ribosomal RNA is filed under the name uncultured bacterium. RNAcentral describes it as "partial 16S ribosomal RNA". It matches the Rfam family "Bacterial small subunit ribosomal RNA", at positions 1290 to 1500 of the family's 1533-position model. The record is from RNAcentral.
AGUUCGGACUGCAGUCUGCAACUCGACUGCACGAAGUCGGAAUUGCUAGUAAUCGCGGAUCAGCAUGCCGCGGUGAAUACGCUCCCGGGCUUUGUACACACCGCCCGUCACACCAUGAGAGUCGGGAACACCCGAAGUCCGUAGUCUAACCGCAAGGAGGACGCGGCCGAAGGUGGGCUUGAUAAUUGGGGUGAAGUCGUAACAAGGUAUC